RNAcentral lists this ribosomal RNA (254 nucleotides) under uncultured bacterium. RNAcentral's name for it is "partial 16S ribosomal RNA". It matches the Rfam family "Bacterial small subunit ribosomal RNA", at positions 524 to 776 of the family's 1533-position model. The record is from RNAcentral.
UACGUAGGGUGCAAGCGUUGUCCGGAAUUAUUGGGCGUAAAGAGCUCGUAGGCGGUCUGUCGCGUCUGCUGUGAAAACUCGGGGCUUAACCCCGGGCCUGCAGUGGGUACGGGCAGACUAGAGUGCGGUAGGGGAGACUGGAAUUCCUGGUGUAGCGGUGAAAUGCGCAGAUAUCAGGAGGAACACCGGUGGCGAAGGCGGGUCUCUGGGCUGUGAACUGACGCUGAGGAGCGAAAGCGUGGGGAGCGAACAGG